Gallus gallus (chicken) is the source of this 415-nucleotide long non-coding RNA. Lineage: Eukaryota; Metazoa; Chordata; Aves; Galliformes; Phasianidae. The record is from Ensembl.
CUUUAAAACUAUACUAAAAUAGAUCAUUCAAGCUGCUCCCAGAAACACACAAGAUAAAAUUCAGAAAGGCGAGGAUUUACCUCUCACCUGCAGCAGGAGCUGAACUGUGAAAUUUCUGUGGCAUCUUAAACGAAAAAAAGAAGUUGGGAUGAACUUGACCAGGUAUUUCUUCGUUUUGCAAAAUAUCAGCUGCAUUCACCAUGGCUCUUCAGAACUUUCAUCAGACACCUAGUUUUAUCUUUAAAGAUCUGGUGUUAUCUUCCGCUGCCUUUGCAAGAAUGCUAUGAAUGCAGAAGAUUAAAACAACGAGAGUGCUGCUCUUCAGUUCAAAAGACUGCUCCCACCAAACACUGUGUGGGUUUUUUACCUUAUUCUCCAGAAAAAAAAAGAAAAGAAAAAAAAAAAAAAGAAUAAU